Molecule: long non-coding RNA, 251 nt
Filed under: Nicotiana benthamiana
Lineage: Eukaryota; Viridiplantae; Streptophyta; Magnoliopsida; Solanales; Solanaceae
Description: long non-coding RNA (NBEN_LNC026291)
Source: RNAcentral
GAAGGUCGGUAAGCUCCCAAGUAUCAUUCUUCUCAAUAGAAUGGAUUUCCUCCUCCAUUGCUUUCACCCAACGUUCUUCUUCAAUUGCAUCCUUGAAAUUCACAGGAUCGCAAUCUGAAAACAAGGCAAAGUUCAAAAUAUCUUCUGUCAGUUAGAGUAUCAACAUAAUUACCGACCAUGCUGUAUUCGUCGUUGCCUCUGUGAUCGACCAUGCUGUAUUGGUUGUAUUUCUGAGGGAGACUGUUGUUGCN